This 403-nucleotide ribosomal RNA is filed under the name uncultured fungus. Its description in RNAcentral is "partial small subunit ribosomal RNA". It matches the Rfam family "Eukaryotic small subunit ribosomal RNA", at positions 30 to 432 of the family's 1831-position model. Lineage: Eukaryota; Fungi. The record is from RNAcentral.
GCUUGUCUCAAAGAUUAAGCCAUGCAUGUCCAAGUACAAACCGUUGUACGGUGAAACUGCGAAUGGCUCAUUAAAUCAGUGAUUGUUUACUUGAGAGUCUCUUGCCCACAAGGAUAACCGUGGUAACCCAGAGCUAAUACUUGCGCGGGGGCCGGACUGCGGCAGCGCGGAACGGCAGCGCUUAUUAGGUAGCAAACCGACGCCUUGCGGCCGCCUGGUGAUUCAUAAUAAGCAGCGGAUCGUACGGCCGCGCGCCGACGACGCCUCAACCAAAUUUCUGCCCUAUCAGCUGUCGACGGUAGGAUAGAGGCCUACCGUGGCCGUCACGGGUAACGGAGAAUAGGGGUUCGAUUCCGGAGAGGGAGCCUGAGAAACGGCUGCCAGUCCCAAGGAAGGCAGCAGG